CCUACGGGAGGCAGCAGUGGGGAAUAUUGGACAAUGGGCGAAAGCCUGAUCCAGCCAUGCCGCGUGUGUGAAGAAGGCCUUAGGGUUGUAAAGCACUUUCAGGGGUGAGGAAGGGUAGCUAGUUAAUACCUAGUUAUUUUGACGGUAGCCGGAGAAGAAGCCCCGGCUAACUCCGUGCCAGCAGCCGCGGUAAU
This 194-nucleotide ribosomal RNA is filed under the name uncultured marine bacterium. Its description in RNAcentral is "partial 16S ribosomal RNA". It matches the Rfam family "Bacterial small subunit ribosomal RNA", at positions 338 to 524 of the family's 1533-position model. The record is from RNAcentral.